AACAAAUACUUGUGUUCAGCAGUUUGCUUUUAUCAUCUUUCCAAAGCAUACUUUACAUAAGAACAAUUUUACAUAAUAUUUAUUAGCAAGAGCAACUGGUUAUAAACAGGCAAAUUCAUUUUCCGUAAGUAUUAUGACUCUGUGAGUGGAAGUGUGCAGGGCUCCUUGAGUGGCCUGCAAGAUGUGAGCUUUCUACAGCCACAAUUUACUGGGCUUUACAGGAAUUAGUGCUACUGAUUUAUCAGGCCCUGCAUUUUUUUCUAGAUUGGCAGCUCUGCCAUGAAUAUAUGUUUGUUGGUUAUCGUUAGAUUUGAAUUUGGCAGUAUGCACUGCAUUCAAUAGGUGUUAUGUAUGAAAAAUAACAGAAUGAUAGCUUAAUGAAAUAAUCUGUCAUGUAUAUUAUAUUCUUUACAG
RNAcentral lists this long non-coding RNA (414 nucleotides) under Bos taurus (domestic cattle). RNAcentral's name for it is "long non-coding RNA NONBTAT010666". The record is from RNAcentral. Lineage: Eukaryota; Metazoa; Chordata; Mammalia; Artiodactyla; Bovidae.